This 612-nucleotide ribosomal RNA is filed under the name uncultured bacterium. Its description in RNAcentral is "bacterial SSU rRNA". The stretch from base 1 to 519 matches the Rfam family "Bacterial small subunit ribosomal RNA", at positions 338 to 873 of the family's 1533-position model. The record is from RNAcentral.
CCUACGGGAGGCAGCAGUGGGGAAUAUUGGACAAUGGGCGAAAGCCUGAUCCAGCAAUGCCGCGUGAGUGAUGAAGGCCUUAGGGUUGUAAAGCUCUUUUACCAGGGAUGAUAAUGACAGUACCUGGAGAAUAAGCUCCGGCUAACUCCGUGCCAGCAGCCGCGGUAAUACGGAGGGAGCUAGCGUUGUUCGGAAUUACUGGGCGUAAAGCGUACGUAGGCGGUUAUUCAAGUCAGAGGUGAAAGCCUGGAGCUCAACUCCAGAACUGCCUUUGAAACUAGAUAGCUAGAAUCUUGGAGAGGUGAGUGGAAUUCCGAGUGUAGAGGUGAAAUUCGUAGAUAUUCGGAAGAACACCAGUGGCGAAGGCGACUCACUGGACAAGUAUUGACGCUGAGGUACGAAAGCGUGGGGAGCAAACAGGAUUAGAUACCCUGGUAGUCCACGCCGUAAACGAUGAUAACUAGCUGUUCGGGCUCUACGAGCUUGAGUGGCGCAGCUACGACAUUAAGUUAUUCCGCCGUCGGGGAGGUACGGUCGGCGAAGAAUUAAAACUAACAAAGGAAGUUAGUACGGCGUGAGACGUGCCGACGGACGACGACGAGGGAGGUUAGG